Molecule: ribosomal RNA, 216 nt
Filed under: Glomeromycotina sp.
Lineage: Eukaryota; Fungi; Glomeromycota
Description: partial small subunit ribosomal RNA
Rfam family: Eukaryotic small subunit ribosomal RNA (bases 40-216)
Source: RNAcentral
GGGUCAGUAGGUUGGUCGUGCCACCGGUACGUACUGGUCUCACUGAUUCCUCCUUCCUGAAGAACCGUAAUGCCAUUAAUUUGGUGUUGCGGGGAAACAGGACUGUUACUUUGAAAAAAUUAGAGUGUUUAAAGCGAGCUAGCGCUUGAAUACAUUAGCAUGGAAUAAUGAAAUAGGACGAUCGAUCCUAUUUUGUUGGUUUCUAGGAUUGACGUA